GAUGAACGCUAGCGGCAGGCUUAACACAUGCAAGUCGAGGGGUAUGGUUCUUCGGAACCAGAGACCGGCGCACGGGUGCGUAACGCGUAUGCAAUCUACCUUUUACAGAGGGAUAGCCCAGAGAAAUUUGGAUUAAUGCCCCAUGGUAUAAUAGAAUCGCAUGGUUUUAUUAUUAAAGUUCCAACGGUAAAAGAUGAGCA
RNAcentral lists this ribosomal RNA (200 nucleotides) under uncultured bacterium. Its description in RNAcentral is "partial 16S ribosomal RNA". It matches the Rfam family "Bacterial small subunit ribosomal RNA", at positions 28 to 231 of the family's 1533-position model. The record is from RNAcentral.